GACGAACGCUGGCGGCGUGCUUAACACAUGCAAGUCGAACGGAAAGGCCCUGCUUUUGUGGGGUGCUCGAGUGGCGAACGGGUGAGUAACACGUGAGUAACCUGCCCUUGACUUUGGGAUAACUUCAGGAAACUGGGGCUAAUACCGGAUAGGAGCUCCUGCUGCAUGGUGGGGGUUGGAAAGUUUCGGCGGUUGGGGAUGGACUCGCGGCUUACCAGCUUGUUGGUGGGGUAGUGGCUUACCAAGGCUUUGACGGGUAGCCGGCCUGAGAGGGUGACCGGCCACAUUGGGACUGAGAUACGGCCGAGACUCCUACGGGAGGCAGCAGUGGGGAAUAUUGCACAAUGGGCGGAAGCCUGAUGCAGCAACGCCGCGUGCGGGAUGACGGCCUUCGGGUUGUAAACCGCUUUCGCCUGUGACGAAGCGUGAGUGACGGUAAUGGGUAAAGAAGCACCGGCUAACUACGUG
This 468-nucleotide ribosomal RNA is filed under the name uncultured bacterium. RNAcentral's name for it is "partial 16S ribosomal RNA". It matches the Rfam family "Bacterial small subunit ribosomal RNA", at positions 28 to 507 of the family's 1533-position model. The record is from RNAcentral.